AUUGAACGCUGGCGGAAUGCUUUACACAUGCAAGUCGAACGGCAGCACGGACUUCGGUCUGGUGGCGAGUGGCGAACGGGUGAGUAAUGUAUCGGAACGUGCCCAGUCGUGGGGGAUAACGUAGUGAAAAUUACGCUAAUACCGCAUACGAUCUAUGGAUGAAAGCGGGGGAUCGCAAGACCUCGCGCGAUUGGAGCGGCUGAUAUCAGAUUAGGUAGUUGGUGGGGUAAAGGCCCACCAAGCCAACGAUCUGUAGCUGGUCUGAGAGGACGACCAGCCACACUGGAACUGAGACACGGUCCAGACUCCUACGGGAGGCAGCAGUGGGGAAUUUUGGACAAUGGGCGAAAGCCUGAUCCAGCCAUUCCGCGUGCAGGAUGAAGGCCCUCGGGUUGUAGACUGCUUUUGUACAGAACGAAAAGGUUUCUACUAAUACUAGGAGCUCAUGACGGUACUGUAAGAAUAAGCACCGGCUAACUACGUGCCAGCCGCCGCGGUAA
Molecule: ribosomal RNA, 500 nt
Filed under: uncultured bacterium
Lineage: Bacteria
Description: partial 16S ribosomal RNA
Rfam family: Bacterial small subunit ribosomal RNA
Source: RNAcentral